This 515-nucleotide ribosomal RNA is filed under the name uncultured bacterium. Its description in RNAcentral is "partial 16S ribosomal RNA". It matches the Rfam family "Bacterial small subunit ribosomal RNA", at positions 28 to 523 of the family's 1533-position model. The record is from RNAcentral.
GAUGAACGCUGGCGGCGUGCCCAAUACAUGCAAGUCGAGCGAAUGGAUUAAGAGCUUGCUCUUAUGAAGUUAGCGGCGGACGGGUGAGUAACACGUGGGUAACCUGCCCAUAAGACUGGGAUAACUCCGGGAAACCGGGGCUAAUACCGGAUAACAUUUUGAACCGCAUGGUUGGAAAUUGAAAGGCGGCUUCGGCUGUCACUUAUGGAUGGACCCGCGUCGCAUUAGCUAGUUGGUGAGGUAACGGCUCACCAAGGCAACGAUGCGUAGCCGACCUGGGAGGGUGAUCGGCCACACUGGGACUGAGACACGGCCCAGACCCCUACGGGAGGCAGCAGUAGGGAAUCUUCCGCAAUGGACGAAAGUCUGACGGAGCAACGCCGCGUGAGUGAUGAAGGCUUUCGGGUCGUAAAACUCUGUUGUUAGGGAAGAACAAGUGCUAGUUGAAUAAGCUGGCACCUUGACGGUACCUAACCAGAAAGCCACGGCUAACUACGUGCCAGCAGCCGCGGUAA